This 253-nucleotide ribosomal RNA is filed under the name uncultured bacterium. Its description in RNAcentral is "partial 16S ribosomal RNA". It matches the Rfam family "Bacterial small subunit ribosomal RNA", at positions 524 to 776 of the family's 1533-position model. The record is from RNAcentral.
UACGUAGGGUGCAAGCGUUAUCCGGAAUCACUGGGCGUAAAGCGUGCGUAGGUGGAUGUUUAAGUGAGAUGUUAAAUCGUGUGGCUCAACCAUAUCGAUGCAUCUCAUACUGGGCAUCUAGAGGACAGCAGAGGCAAGUGGAAUUGGUAGUGUAGCAGUGAAAUGCGUAGAUAUUACCAGGAACACCAAUGGCGAAGGCAGCUUGCUGGGCUACUCCUGACACUGAGAUACGAAAGCGUGGGGAGCGAACAGG